GGACCCUUAGCUCAGUUGGUUAGAGCAUCCGGCUCAUAACCGGGCGGUCGCAGGUUCGAAUCCUUCAGGGUCCACCA
This 77-nucleotide transfer RNA is filed under the name Mollicutes bacterium. Its description in RNAcentral is "tRNA-Ile". It matches the Rfam family "tRNA". Rfam says of the family: Transfer RNA (tRNA) molecules are approximately 80 nucleotides in length. The record is from RNAcentral. Lineage: Bacteria; Bacillati; Mycoplasmatota; Mollicutes.